GACGAACGCUGGCGGCGUGCCUAAUACAUGCAAGUUGAGCGAUGAAGAUUGGUGCUUGCACCAAUUUGAAGAGCAGCGAACGGGUGAGUAACGCGUGGGGAAUCUGCCUUUGAGCGGGGGACAACAUUUGGAAACGAAUGCUAAUACCGCAUAACAACUUUAAACAUAAGUUUUAAGUUUGAAAGAUGCAAUUGCAUCACUCAAAGAUGAUCCCGCGUUGUAUUAGCUAGUUGGUGAGGUAAAGGCUCACCAAGGCGAUGAUACAUAGCCGACCUGAGAGGGUGAUCGGCCACAUUGGGACUGAGACACGGCCCAAACUCCUACGGGAGGCAGCAGUAGGGAAUCUUCGGCAAUGGACGAAAGUCUGACCGAGCAACGCUGCGUGAGUGAAGAAGGUUUUCGGAUCGUAAAACUCUGUUGGUAGAGAAGAACGUUGGUGAGAGUGGAAAGCUCAUCAAGUGACGGUAACUACCCAGAAAGGGACGGCUAACUACGUG
This 497-nucleotide ribosomal RNA is filed under the name uncultured bacterium. RNAcentral describes it as "partial 16S ribosomal RNA". It matches the Rfam family "Bacterial small subunit ribosomal RNA", at positions 28 to 507 of the family's 1533-position model. The record is from RNAcentral.